UUCAAAUUGGAGGCUCUACUUUUUAAGCCAAGUGUUGGCCUGUUUCCUACCUCCAUUGGGUAACUAAUCCUGGUUGGUUUUCUUUGCAAGCCUUCUCUCCCACAGGUGAACCAUUACCAAGGACUCUGCCACUUAAAAUCCUUCUGAAAAAAUGCCACUCUCUGCCCAUCUCACAGAGUAUCCCCAUGGAGCUGGACCAAGUGGGCUGGAGGAGACCUAUGAUGCUUUGCAUUGGUAAAUUGUACUAGGCCCCGAAGAUGCUAGAAAUCCGCAAGAACAUUGGAGACUACUGGAAGCUCCGGGAACCAGGAAACAAGCCAGUUAAUGAAGUAAGACCCCUUUCUUAGUUUCUUUUGAACUUGCCUGUUCUCUAGCACCAUUUAUCUCCUCUAAGCUUCUCUCUUCCUAGACAUAUUGCAAGUAUUCAAACUUCCACCAUGUGGAAUGGAAGCAAUUUUUAAAAUGGGUUUCUGAGCCAUUUUAUGGCUGCAUAAAAGUUG
RNAcentral lists this long non-coding RNA (500 nucleotides) under Macaca fascicularis (crab-eating macaque). RNAcentral's name for it is "lncRNA (ENSMFAG00000061845.1)". Lineage: Eukaryota; Metazoa; Chordata; Mammalia; Primates; Cercopithecidae. The record is from RNAcentral.